UUUUAUACAAGUGGAUGUAAAAUUAUUAGUGACAUUCAUCUAAAGUUAGACAUCAGAAUGAGUGCUGGGUAUAGAAACAUUUACAGUACAGAAAGAUCAGGGUGCAUAGCAAUCGAAGUGAAAUCUGGCUGUUGUAAUUUUUUACAGUACAGUAAAUUAUCAACUGUCUCCAAACACGAGGCAAAGAGAAAAUGUAUUCCAUCACGUAAAACAUUUUUGACUUUAAAAAAUUUAGUUGACAACUGCAUAGACCAAAUGCCAUGACAUAAGCUACUGAAGCUACUCAACCUCAGGUGGAUCUAGUACAAAGGGACACUUACAAACAUAGUGGUUACACAUAUUGUAAAGUAUUAACUGGUCUAUCAUUAACCCGCAGAAUAAAAGCUUUGCAACACUACCAGUGGAUGAUGAUGAUGAUGAUGAUGAUGAUGGUGGACUUGUAGUUGAUUAUUUCUCAAGAUAAAUGUGGUUUGUUGUUUAUUGCUGAAACAAUACAUACUGUUAUGUCCAGGCUCAUGUGUUGUUAUUAAGGAAACUAGUGUUGAAUGUUCUUUUUAACAUCUUUGGAAGGCGAAUAAUGAAUUAACAAAUGUGAGAGUUUCUGAACUGAUUGAAUGGCAGAAAACAAAACAAAAAAACGAUACUGUGUUGCUUAAAAUGCCAGAAAAGCAUAGAAACUAAUAGAAAUAUUAAAUAUACAACCACUGCAUUCUCAUGACAUAAAAUUGUCAACAUUAUUUUUUUAUGAACCCCAAACUAAAAUUAUAGUUUGUAUAAAUCAUAUGUAAGACAUCCUCUUACUUAGCACGACAUAUCUACAGUAGUUGGACACAGAAAAGUGCAUAUUUAUAAAGACAAAUGCGCUAAAGAAAUUUUUCUAAGUACAGUGUUAUGAAGAAAAAAACACAUCUACAUGUUCACAGUAAUGUUCCAUAGAAACAUACAUCGAAAGACACAACCAGUCCUGAGAAAAAGAAUCUCUACAAAUCAACAAUGGCCCGUCGUACUUCAGUGCAUUGUUCGUUAAACAAUCUCCAGUGUUUAGAGCAUCCUUACAAUAAAGAAUAAAAAUACAUUUAUAUGAAAACAUGCUGUCCAAAAAAAUUAAAAGACAAAAGAAAGUGUGGCCCUGCCAACAAUAUCCUCAUCAUGGAAUGACAUAAAAACAAAAAAAAAUAUUACAAAGCUGACGGACGGCAUACUGUACCCUUUAUAUAGUUAUGAUUUUGGUAUAUGAGUAUUUUUUUUGGAUGUUGAUAGCAGAGUCAGAUAACACAACACCUUUCAGUGCCAUCAUAUGUGAGUCUUAGCACUAUGUCACCUUGAAUCAGUAACAGAGCGUUACUGACAUCUCCCGACACCGUCCGACUUUAGCUCAUCUUUAGCAGGCUUGGAAAAUAAAAGCAGUUCUGAUUAAAGCAAUGCUCUGGCUAUCAUGCAGCAAGUAUCCAUGCAGAAAUUCUUACUCUCUACGCAAUCAGAUACAAAUAUAUGAAAUGAGGAAAAAAGGGACAAAAAAAAUCUCUGCCUUGCAUCUGGACUGACCCCUCAUUGUCCACACUGAGACAUUCUUCUCACGCAGAUUACCUAAAGCUGCACGCCUAUUAGCAGCACUUUUGGUGACCUUUCCUGUAUUUUUCCUUCAUUUUCACCUGGUCAAAUGUGAAUGAUUCCAUUAUUUUCAGGCCCCUUCUAGCACCUAACUUUUGCUUGUCACUCUUUUGGGGCUUCAAGGCUGUGUUUGGGUUGAGCGCUGCAGCAUACUCAGGGUGCUCAGAAGGAGAGAUAAUCAUGUGGGCAACCUCUCAGUUUCGUCUAGAAGGUGCAAAAGAAUGAAAACAGACAGAAUCGGGUUAACACAACAAGUUUCUCAAGUUCUAAAAGUGAAUGUUGCAACUUUACUGGAUGCACGAGAAAGCAGUUUGCCUAAAAAAAUCAAGCAAAAAAUAAAAAAUAACCUGGUGGUGAUGGAGAGUUAUCCUCCCCUGUUGUGGCAAACUGUAGGUCAGACCCCAAAGCAGCUAUGGAGCUCCUGGGGCGAAUGCAGCGGUCACCUGAGAAACUCCUACGAAGUAAUGCCUAAAGCCAGAUAUGUUACACCAAUUACUGAUAAAUGUCUCCAUAAUAAAAUACAUUUACAUUUUUUCUGGUUGCUACUGUUCUUCAUUUGAGAGGUAGACAGGUGCAACUUGAUCC
Molecule: long non-coding RNA, 2196 nt
Organism: Astatotilapia calliptera (eastern happy)
Lineage: Eukaryota; Metazoa; Chordata; Actinopteri; Cichliformes; Cichlidae
Source: Ensembl